UGAGAGAACCAUGUGAGGAAUGUGCAUGAAAAAUAUUUCACAAAAGUAUGAAGCACUACAUAAACGUGGGAGAUUAUCAGUGUUGUUCAACAGCUUAUCCAACUUGCUAAGAAAAUUCCUGAACAAGAAAAAUGAGAGCCAAAAAGCAGCGAACCCACAUGUUCUUCGUGGCUCAUGGAACAGUAUGAACACGAGAUGCUCCCUGGAAAGAGGGCUCUGUGGCCACGUAAGCGUGGGACAGCACCUGAUUUUGGAGUCACGUCUCAUUGGGUUUGUUCAGCCUGAUAUUUCCACACUGAUUUUGCUGUGUAACCCAUGUAGCAUCCCACGUAUGUUCCAGAGAACAUGCUUUGGGAAAUGCAAACACACCUCCGCAGAAAAUAAUUAUUCAGCUCAAAUUUGUGAGGCAGCCCACAUUUCAAACAUUCAGCUCUGUCAUCCCUGUUAGUUCAUUUGGAUCUGUUCAACCAGGGCUCAAAAGUUUGGGUCUGGAGAAAGGGUCACUGUCACUAAAAGUGCAAAUGAAGUGAGAGGAUCAAGGACUCACGUGGCCUGCGACAAACCAUGGAAGCCCUAAAAGCAGGAACCGGGGGCACCUGGGUGGCACAGUCAUUUAAGCGCCGACUCUUGAUCUCAGCUCAGGUCACGAUCUCACGGUACAGCAAGGCUGAGCCCUGCAACGGGCUGUGCACUGAUGGUGCAGAGCCUGCUUAGGAGUCUGUCUCUC
Long non-coding RNA from Hyaena hyaena (striped hyena), 727 nucleotides. RefSeq lists it as uncharacterized. NCBI's taxonomy places the organism in Eukaryota, Metazoa, Chordata, Mammalia, Carnivora, Hyaenidae. The transcript has 3 exons. The record is from RefSeq and is a predicted model, not a curated record.